Long non-coding RNA from Cucumis melo (muskmelon), 412 nucleotides. RefSeq lists it as uncharacterized. The record is from RefSeq and is a predicted model, not a curated record. NCBI's taxonomy places the organism in Eukaryota, Viridiplantae, Streptophyta, Magnoliopsida, Cucurbitales, Cucurbitaceae. The transcript has 2 exons.
GUCAAAGAAGAUUGUGAAGGAAGAAGAUCAUGAAGAAGGGGACCAAGAAGUUCAAGAGGUCUCUCAAAGUGAUCAAAAGAUCUCCGUCAAGAACCUACUGUGCUGAGAUUGCUCAUGAUAUUUCAACAAAGAAAAGGAAAGAGAUUGUUGAGAGGGAAGCUCGACUUGAUGUUGUAGUUGCCGACAAGCUGGCUAGGUUGCGUAGCCAAAGAAGAUGAAACAUGAAAGGACCGCAUGAAUUGUAUAGGUUGUGGACUAUUUGUCUGUUAUCGCUUAAAGGCAAUACCACAUCUCGUUCUCAUACAUAUCUUGCACGUUUUAAACUUUUACUAUGUGUUUCAAAAUCAAAUUUCUAUCUCUCUUAAAUCAUUUGGAGUGCUUUUAUGCAUGUUUAUGAAGCAUUUUAAGUAUA